UUAAGCGACUAAGCGUACACGGUGGAUGCCCUGGCAGUCAGAGGCGAUGAAGGACGUGCUAAUCUGCGAAAAGCGUCGGUAAGGUGAUAUGAACCGUUAUAACCGGCGAUGUCCGAAUGGGGAAACCCAGUGUGUUUCGACACACUAUCAUUAACUGAAUCCAUAGGUUAAUGAGGCGAACCGGGGGAACUGAAACAUCUAAGUACCCCGAGGAAAAGAAAUCAACCGAGAUUCCCCAGUAGCGGCGAGCGAACGGGGAGGAGCCCAGAGCCUGAAUCAGUGUGUGUGUUAGUGGAAGCGUCUGGAAAGGCGUGCGAUACAGGGUGACAGCCCCGUACACAAAAAUGCACAUGCUGUGAGCUCGAUGAGUAGGGCGGGACACGUGGUAUCCUGUCUGAAUAUGGGGGGACCAUCCUCCAAGGCUAAAUACUCCUGACUGACCGAUAGUGAACCAGUACCGUGAGGGAAAGGCGAAAAGAACCCCGGCGAGGGGAGUGAAAAAGAACCUGAAACCGUGUACGUACAAGCAGUGGGAGCCCUGAUUUAUCAGGGUGACUGCGUACCUUUUGUAUAAUGGGUCAGCGACUUAUAUUCUGUAGCAAGGUUAACCGAAUAGGGGAGCCGGAGGGAAACCGAGUCUUAACUGGGCGUUAAGUUGCAGGGUAUAGACCCGAAACCCGGUGAUCUAGCCAUGGGCAGGUUGAAGGUUGGGUAACACUAACUGGAGGACCGAACCGACUAAUGUUGAAAAAUUAGCGGAUGACUUGUGGCUGGGGGUGAAAGGCCAAUCAAACCGGGAGAUAGCUGGUUCUCCCCGAAAGCUAUUUAGGUAGCGCCUCGUGAAUUCAUCUCCGGGGGUAGAGCACUGUUUCGGCAAGGGGGUCAUCCCGACUUACCAACCCGAUGCAAACUGCGAAUACCGGAGAAUGUUAUCACGGGAGACACACGGCGGGUGCUAACGUCCGUCGUGAAGAGGGAAACAACCCAGACCGCCAGCUAAGGUCCCAAAGUCAUGGUUAAGUGGGAAACGAUGUGGGAAGGCCCAGACAGCCAGGAUGUUGGCUUAGAAGCAGCCAUCAUUUAAAGAAAGCGUAAUAGCUCACUGGUCGAGUCGGCCUGCGCGGAAGAUGUAACGGGGCUAAACCAUGCACCGAAGCUGCGGCAGCGACACUGUGUGUUGUUGGGUAGGGGAGCGUUCUGUAAGCCUGUGAAGGUGUGCUGUGAGGCAUGCUGGAGGUAUCAGAAGUGCGAAUGCUGACAUAAGUAACGAUAAAGCGGGUGAAAAGCCCGCUCGCCGGAAGACCAAGGGUUCCUGUCCAACGUUAAUCGGGGCAGGGUGAGUCGACCCCUAAGGCGAGGCCGAAAGGCGUAGUCGAUGGGAAACAGGUUAAUAUUCCUGUACUUGGUGUUACUGCGAAGGGGGGACGGAGAAGGCUAUGUUGGCCGGGCGACGGUUGUCCCGGUUUAAGCGUGUAGGCUGGUUUUCCAGGCAAAUCCGGAGAAUCAAGGCUGAGGCGUGAUGACGAGGCACUACGGUGCUGAAGCAACAAAUGCCCUGCUUCCAGGAAAAGCCUCUAAGCAUCAGGUAACAUCAAAUCGUACCCCAAACCGACACAGGUGGUCAGGUAGAGAAUACCAAGGCGCUUGAGAGAACUCGGGUGAAGGAACUAGGCAAAAUGGUGCCGUAACUUCGGGAGAAGGCACGCUGAUGGUAGGUGAAGCGACUUGCUCGUGGAGCUGAAAUCAGUCGAAGAUACCAGCUGGCUGCAACUGUUUAUUAAAAACACAGCACUGUGCAAACACGAAAGUGGACGUAUACGGUGUGACGCCUGCCCGGUGCCGGAAGGUUAAUUGAUGGGGUCAGCGCAAGCGAAGCUCUUGAUCGAAGCCCCGGUAAACGGCGGCCGUAACUAUAACGGUCCUAAGGUAGCGAAAUUCCUUGUCGGGUAAGUUCCGACCUGCACGAAUGGCGUAAUGAUGGCCAGGCUGUCUCCACCCGAGACUCAGUGAAAUUGAACUCGCUGUGAAGAUGCAGUGUACCCGCGGCAAGACGGAAAGACCCCGUGAACCUUUACUAUAGCUUGACACUGAACACUGGUCCUUGAUGUGUAGGAUAGGUGGGAGGCUUUGAAGUGUGGACGCCAGUCUGCAUGGAGCCGUCCUUGAAAUACCACCCUUUAAUGGCUGGUGUUCUAACGUGGGCCCGUAAUCCGGGUUGCGGACAGUGUCUGGUGGGUAGUUUGACUGGGGCGGUCUCCUCCUAAAGAGUAACGGAGGAGCACGAAGGUUGGCUAAUCCUGGUCGGACAUCAGGAGGUUAGUGCAAUGGCAUAAGCCAGCUUGACUGCGAGCGUGACGGCGCGAGCAGGUGCGAAAGCAGGUCAUAGUGAUCCGGUGGUUCUGAAUGGAAGGGCCAUCGCUCAACGGAUAAAAGGUACUCCGGGGAUAACAGGCUGAUACCGCCCAAGAGUUCAUAUCGACGGCGGUGUUUGGCACCUCGAUGUCGGCUCAUCACAUCCUGGGGCUGAAGUAGGUCCCAAGGGUAUGGCUGUUCGCCAUUUAAAGUGGUACGCGAGCUGGGUUUAGAACGUCGUGAGACAGUUCGGUCCCUAUCUGCCGUGGGCGCUGGAGAACUGAGGGGGGCUGCUCCUAGUACGAGAGGACCGGAGUGGACGCAUCACUGGUGUUCGGGUUGUCAUGCCAAUGGCACUGCCCGGUAGCUAAAUGCGGAAGAGAUAAGUGCUGAAAGCAUCUAAGCACGAAACUUGCCCCGAGAUGAGUUCUCCCUGAGACUUAGAGUCUCCUGAAGGAACGUUGAAGACGACGACGUUGAUAGGCCGGGUGUGUAAGCGCAGCGAUGCGUUGAGCUAACCGGUACUAAUGAACCGUGAGGCUUAACCUU
RNAcentral lists this ribosomal RNA (2901 nucleotides) under Escherichia albertii. RNAcentral describes it as "bacterial LSU rRNA". It matches the Rfam family "Bacterial large subunit ribosomal RNA". Lineage: Bacteria; Pseudomonadati; Pseudomonadota; Gammaproteobacteria; Enterobacterales; Enterobacteriaceae. The record is from RNAcentral.